AUUGAACGCUGGCGGCAGGCCUAACACAUGCAAGUCGAGCGGAUGAAGGGAGCUUGCUCCUGGAUUCAGCGGCGGACGGGUGAGUAAUGCCUAGGAAUCUGCCUGGUAGUGGGGGAUAACGUCCGGAAACGGGCGCUAAUACCGCAUACGUCCUGAGGGAGAAAGUGGGGGAUCUUCGGACCUCACGCUAUCAGAUGAGCCUAGGUCGGAUUAGCUAGUUGGUGGGGUAAAGGCCUACCAAGGCGACGAUCCGUAACUGGUCUGAGAGGAUGACCAGUCACACUGGAACUGAGACACGGUCCAGACUCCUACGGGAGGCAGCAGUGGGGAAUAUUGGACAAUGGGCGAAAGCCUGAUCCAGCCAUGCCGCGUGUGAAGAAGGUCUUCGGAUUGUAAAGCACUUUAAGUUGGGAGGAAGGGCAGUAAGUUAAUACCUUGCUGUUUUGACGUUACCAACAGAAUAAGCACCGGCUAACUUCGUG
RNAcentral lists this ribosomal RNA (482 nucleotides) under uncultured bacterium. RNAcentral's name for it is "partial 16S ribosomal RNA". It matches the Rfam family "Bacterial small subunit ribosomal RNA", at positions 30 to 507 of the family's 1533-position model. The record is from RNAcentral.